This 480-nucleotide ribosomal RNA is filed under the name uncultured bacterium. Its description in RNAcentral is "bacterial SSU rRNA". It matches the Rfam family "Bacterial small subunit ribosomal RNA", at positions 28 to 507 of the family's 1533-position model. The record is from RNAcentral.
GAUGAACGCUAGCGGCAGGCUUAACACAUGCAAGUCGAGGGGCAACACGGGUAGCAAUACCUGGUGGCGACCGGCGCAAGGGUGCGUAACGCGUGAGCAACAUGCCCUAUACAGGGGGAUAAUCCAGGGAAACUUGGUCUAAUAUCCCAUAGUAUUUAGAGGUGGCAUCACCACUAAAUUAAAGCUUCGGUGGUAUAGGAUUGGCUCGCGUGACAUUAGCUGGAUGGUGGGGUAACGGCUCACCAUGGCGAUGAUGUCUAGGGGUUCUGAGAGGAAGACCCCCCACACUGGGACUGAGACACGGCCCAGACUCCUACGGGAGGCAGCAGUAGGGAAUUUUGCGCAAUGGACGGAAGUCUGACGCAGCAACGCCGCGUGAAGGAUGAAGGCCUUCGGGUUGUAAACUUCUGUUGGAUGGGAAAAAAAGCCUUUUAAGAGGAAUUGAUGGUACCAUUCGAGUAAGCACCGGCUAACUACGUG